AUUGAACGCUGGCGGCAUGCUUUACACAUGCAAGUCGAGCGGCAGCGCGGGGGGUAACCCCUGGCGGCGAGCGGCGGACGGGUGAGUAAUGCAUCGGAACGUAUCCCGUAGUGGGGGACAACCCAGCGAAAGCUGGGCUAAUACCGCAUAUGCUCUACGGAGGAAAGCAGGGGACCUGAGAGGGCCUUGUGCUAUGGGAGCGGCCGAUGUCCGAUUAGCUAGNGGUGGGGUAAAGGCUUACCAAGGCGACGAUCGGUAGCUGGUCUGAGAGGAUGAUCAGCCACACUGGGACUGAGACACGGCCCAGACUCCUACGGGAGGCAGCAGUGGGGAAUUUUGGACAAGUGGGGCAACCCUGAUCCAGCCAUGCCGCGUGCGGGAAGAAGGCCU
This 390-nucleotide ribosomal RNA is filed under the name uncultured bacterium. RNAcentral's name for it is "bacterial SSU rRNA". It matches the Rfam family "Bacterial small subunit ribosomal RNA", at positions 28 to 417 of the family's 1533-position model. The record is from RNAcentral.